RNAcentral lists this ribosomal RNA (2763 nucleotides) under Hydrodroma torrenticola. Its description in RNAcentral is "eukaryotic LSU rRNA". It matches the Rfam family "Eukaryotic large subunit ribosomal RNA", at positions 111 to 3120 of the family's 3401-position model. The record is from RNAcentral. Lineage: Eukaryota; Metazoa; Arthropoda; Arachnida; Trombidiformes; Hydrodromidae.
AGCGUGAAGGCACAACUCCACAAGAGUUGCGCGGUGCCACGUGUGCUAUAGCAGUACAUUCAUCACAAUUGAAAGGUACGCAUUGUAAAUCCUUUUGAAUAAGGUUUACCAUAGAGGGUGCGAGCCCCUUAGCGAUGUGACUUUCUCUUGUAGUGUUGACUGCAAAUAGCUAGAGUCGGUUUGCUUGAGAGUGCAGACCAAAGUAGGUGGUAAGCUCCACCUAAGGCUAAAUAUUACUGUGAGACCGAUAGCAAACAAGUACCGUGAGGGAAAGUUGAAAAGGACUUUGAAGAGAGAGUUCAAUAGGACGUGAAACCGUUUGCAGGUAAACAGAUGGACCCACGAAGUGCAUAUGUGUGGGCAGCAGAGAUGGCAACAUCUCAGUCUGCUCCAAUGCAACUCUGACUGUUUAGGGUCACUUUGAUGUAGUCUUUUUGAGAAAAAAGGCAAGACGUCUUUAACUGGAGUGAACCUUUACAGGUUCGCCAGUUAUUGAGCUUUGUAUCAUCAAGUGCACUGUAAACAGAUCUAAUCGAGAAUAUCAUACUGGGUACCAGUAGUAAAUGUUGACAUUGCAUUAGGUACGUUCCCGCCUGUCUCUUCGGAUUCAGUGGAAGUAUUUACAUGUUCAGUGUACACUUUGCUGCUGGUCUACACCAAUGAUCAUUGCAACUCGAAUCAGAGUAGUAGGUCGGUCAUCCAUCUGACCCGUCUUGAAACACGGACCAAGGAGUCUAACAUGCAUGCGAGUCACUCAGUCUUGAAUAGGCUCGAGAGGCGAAGCGAAAGCAACGUAUGAGACCAUCAUUWACUUGAUGCGCAUCAUCGGCCUUCUGUUAAUCUAGUUACAGAUAGAGUCAUAGCAUGCAUGUUGGUACCCGAAAGAUGGUGAACUAUGCUUGGGCAAGACGAAGCCAGAAGAAAUUCUGGUGGAGGUCUGUAGCGAUUCUGACGUGCAAAUCGAUCGUCAGACCUGAGUAUAGGGGCGAAAGACUAAUCGAACCAUCUAGUAGCUGGUUCCUUCCGAAGUUUCCCUCAGGAUAGCUGGUACUAAGUAAACUGUAGCAUCCGGUAAAGCGAAUGAUUAGAGGUCUUGGGAGCGAAACGCUCUCAACCUAUUCUCAAACUUUAAAUGGGUGCGGAGAGUAGCUUUCUUAAUUGAAGUUGCUUUUCACUCAGUAAGAUAUAGUACCAAGUGGGCCAUUUUUGGUAAGCAGAACUGGUGCUGUGGGAUGAACCAAACGUGCAGUUAAGGUACCCUAUGCGUUCACGCUCAUGAGACCCCACGAAAGGUGUUGGUUGCUAUAGACAGCAGGACGGUGGCCAUGGAAGUCGGAAUCCGCUAAGGAGUGUGUAACAACUCACCUGCCGAAGCAACCAGCCCUGAAAAUGGAUGAUGCUGAAGCGUGGAACCUAUACUGUACCGUUGUUGUAUAAGUUCUUUUAAAAAGACACAACAACGAGUAGGAAGGACGCAGUGAUAGCAUUGAAGGUUAGGAUGUGAAUCCAACUGGAGCUGUCACUGAUGCAGAUCUUGGUGGUAGUAGCAAAUACUCAAGUGAGAUCCUUGAGGACCAAAGUGGAGAAGGGUUCCAUGUGAACAGCAGUUGAACAUGGGUUAGCCGGUCCUGAGAGAGAUAUGCUCAAAUUGCAUGUUUGCAGCUACUCUCGAAAGGGAAUCAGGUUAAUAUUCCUGAGCCUAGUUACGGAGUCUGUGGCUUAUUGAUUGCUUCGGUGGUCAAUAGGUUACGAUGCGGCAACGCAAACGAGCUCUGGGACGUCAACGUAAGUCCGGGGAAGAGGUGUCUUUUCUUUGUCAGCAACUUACUCCGUGGAGAACGGGUCAUCCGGAGACACGGAACAAAGUUGCGGAAAGCACUGCACCCUGUAGCAGUGUCCGGGGUGCUUACGUUGGCCCUUGAAAACCAGAGUGAGAAACUCAAAUAUGNNNNNNNNNNNNNNNNNNNNNNNUGGGAGAUUGAUGUUAAAGUUAAUCGAAAUUGAAAUACCACCACUGUUAUCCUCUCUUCACUAACCUGGUAAAGGAGGUGAAUGUAGUCACUGUAUGUCCGUUAUUGGCUUACAGGUUAACAGAUUACGAUCGUAUAGAACAAGUUUACGAUUGUUUAUAUUUGUUGAGCAUGAACAUUUCUGUAAGUCAGCAAUGAUGGAGGAGAUGGGAUUGUGAAGCAUAAUAUACCAAGUCUAAAACGUAAACGAACCUCAUUCAGGGACAUAACCAGGUGGGGAGUUCGACUGGGGCGGUACAUCUACAAAAGAAUAACGUAGAUGUCCUAAGGACAGCUCAGUGAGGACAGAAACCUCGCGUAGCGCAAAAGGGCAAAAGCUGUCUUGAUGUAUUCUCUCAGUAGGAGAAUGCUACGGGGAAACCCCGGCCUAUCGAUCCUUUUGUCUUUGUUGUUAAGAGCUUUAAGCAAGAGGUGUCAGAAAAGUUACCACAGGGAUAACUGGCUUGUGGCAGCCAAGCGUUCAUAGCGACGUUGCUUUUUGAUUCUUCGAUGUCGGCUCUUCCUAUCAUUGCGAAGCAGAAUUCGCAAAGCGUUGGAUUGUUCACCCACUAAUAGGGAACGUGAGCUGGGUUUAGACCGUCGUGAGACAGGUUAGUUUUACCCUACUGAUGAUAUAAAUUGUCGUUGCUCUGGAAAUCCUGCUCAGUACGAGAGGAACCGCAGGUUCGGAUCACUGGUAUUGUGGUUGUUCGACAGGACAGUGCCACAAAGCUACCAUCCGUGGGAUUAUGAC